GCUACCAUGCAGUCGAGCGGUAGCGGGAGAAGCUUGCUUUCUCCGCUGACGAGCGGCGGACGGGUGAGUAGUGUCUGGGGAUCUGCCUGAUGGAGGGGGAUAACUACUGGACACGGUAGCUAAUACCGCAUAACGUCGCAAGACCAAAGUGGGGGACCUUCGGGCCUCGUGCCCUCAGAUGAACCCAGAUGGGAUUAGCUAGUAGGUGAGGUAAUGGCUCACCUAGGCGACGAUCCCUAGCUGGUCUGAGAGGAUGACCAGCCACACUGGAACUGAGACACGGUCCAGACUCCUACGGGAGGCAGCAGUGGGGAAUAUUGCACAAUGGGCGCAAGCCUGAUGCAGCCAUGCCGCGUGUAUGAAGAAGGCCUCGGGUUGUAAAGUACUUUCAGUAGGGAGGAAGGUGUGCGUGUUAAUAGCACGUGCAAUUGACGUUACCUACAGAAGAAGCACCGGCUAACUCCGUGCCAGCAGCCGCGGUAAUACGGAGGGUGCAAGCGUUAAUCGGAAUUACUGGGCGUAAAGCGCACGCGGGCGGUUUGUUAAGUUGGAUGUGAAAUCCCCGGGCUUAACCUGGGAACUGCAUCCAAGACUGGCAAGCUAGAGUCUCGUAGAGGGAGGUAGAAUUCCGGGUGUAGCGGUGAAAUGCGUAGAGAUCUGGAAGAAUACCGGUGGCGAAGGCGGCCUCCUGGACGAAGACUGACGCUCAGGUGCAAAAGCGUGGGGAGCAACCAAGAUUAUAUACCCUGGUAGUCCACUCUGUAAACUAUGUCGAUUUGGAGGUUGUGCCCUUGACGCGUGUCUUCCGAAACUAACGCGUUAAUCCGACCGCCUGGGGAGUACGGCCGCGAGGUUUAAACUCAAAUGAAUUGACGGGGGCCCGCACAAGCGGUGGAGCAUGUGGUUUAAUUCGAUGCAACGCGAAGAAC
Molecule: ribosomal RNA, 929 nt
Filed under: Edwardsiella tarda
Lineage: Bacteria; Pseudomonadati; Pseudomonadota; Gammaproteobacteria; Enterobacterales; Hafniaceae
Description: bacterial SSU rRNA
Rfam family: Bacterial small subunit ribosomal RNA
Source: RNAcentral